AAAAUCAGUAAAAAAAAACAACUUCAGGGAAACAAAGAACUUUCUCUAGUAAAUGUGCCAUUGGUUGAAAUCACAAAGAGGAAGUUCGAUGGCUAAGGGACUUAAAAACUGUUUCACCACCUCCACCAGUCAGUUGUCUUUGUUGUGUUCGACUUGAGUAGAUUGCUGUAUCCUCUGCUAGCGUGACCUGAGCUCCAGGGUUGGUAGAGUAAAGGCAGAUGAUGAUGCUCUACCUGGCUCUCCUUCUGGGCGUUCUGCCUUGUGCAGCCCAAGACGAUGGCAAAUACAGUGAGCCGGGGGCCAUGACAAUGGGUUCAGAGGCCAGUGAGUCAGACCCCGGUGCUUUUGUGAGCUCCCCAGCCGAGGCUCCGACUGGUCCUUGCUGUGGCGGUGAGGAGCUGGGUCGCGCCCUGAGCCAGCUGGUCCAGGAGCAGCAGUCCGCCUCAAGCUGGCGGGGAGAGGUGCUGUCAGGGCUCACCCAGCUGGUCCAGGAGCACAAGGAGGUGGCCAGCGGGCAGGCCGAGCUGGUCAAGCUGCUGCGAGACAUCCGGGACCAAGGUGGACAACACCUGACCCAUCUGCAGAACCUGGCCCGCCAUCAGAGCCUUCUGGUGGAGAACCACCAGGCCCUCCUCCUGCAAGCCUCUCGGAUAGGCAACCAGCUACAGGACCUGGCCAAGACCAUCAACAAGCAAUAAGACGUCUAAUCUUUUUGGCUGUGAAGACAUACAUACGUGGAACAUGGAUCAGCAACUUUUGAUGCAUUUGGUUAUGCUUACAGGAUCAUGGUGAUCCUGUCACUUGUGCACAAAGAAAUAAUCAGCACAAUUAAAUCGCUUUGAUGAAAUGUUUGCCAGCAUUACAAAGAAUCAGCCAUAUAUAAAAAUAAAAUUGCUGUGAAUCAGUUAAAAGAUGUUUUAUUUGUACACUGAUUUUCUUCUGCAAAUAAAUGCUUAAUCACUGUAUGAUUAUUAGAAAAUGUUGACAUGAAAUAUAGCAAUAAAUAAUCGAACAUC
Molecule: long non-coding RNA, 1016 nt
Organism: Clupea harengus (Atlantic herring)
Lineage: Eukaryota; Metazoa; Chordata; Actinopteri; Clupeiformes; Clupeidae
Source: Ensembl